CAAAGGUCAGUAGCUCAGAGCAAGGAGAGGAAGGUGGGACACAGCGAGGGAAACAGAAUAUUGCAAAGUAUUUCUUGAAUAUUCACACCUAAUCUUGCACUAAACCUAAGAUGACAAGCCAAGAAAGAAGCUUACUCCCCACAGAGAGAUUUUGAAGAUGCAAAUGCAAAGUUGGGGAUUUCAGACUAAAACUGUCUCUCUAUAGGAAAAAAAUGCAUGCAUUUUAUGCCUUUUGGAGAAGAUGGAGAGAGAUGGGUCUUUGAGAAAAACCUGUGAUGGAUAUGAAUCGAUGGAUAAGAUUCUGAGCUCUGCCCACGCUUCAGAGAAGCAUCUGUCAAUCCACUGACUAAUGACAAUGACUUAUGUGUCCAGACUUCAGAGUAACAGAAGGCCUGGCUCCAAAUAAUAGAGUGACCAUGUUUCCUAAAGAGACUGUAUGUGUUUAAAACAUAAAGGCAUUUUGACAGAGAGAAUAAUUGAAUAGGCUUAGCUUGGUGACACUUAAAGCAUUUAACCAUGUCCCAUAUAUUUCUACAGAGGGGUAGUAUUUAGUAGUUUAUUUUCCUAUAAAUAUUAAAACCUGUGCAAAAACAGAAGAAAACAACACACAGUAAUCUAAAAGCUCAAGAAAAUUUAAGUGCACAGAUAAGAAAAUCAAAUGAACUUCUUAUUUAUUACUGUUACAAUUCCCUGUGUACAUAUGUCCUUUUAUUCUAUAUAUUUAUAGAUGAAU
This 733-nucleotide long non-coding RNA is filed under the name Bos indicus x Bos taurus (hybrid cattle). Its description in RNAcentral is "lncRNA (ENSBIXG00000024889.1)". The record is from RNAcentral. Lineage: Eukaryota; Metazoa; Chordata; Mammalia; Artiodactyla; Bovidae.